GACGUAGGAUGCAAGCGUUGUCCGGAUCUAUUGGGCGUAAAGAGUUCGUAGGUGGUUUGUUAAGUCUGAUGUUAAAGACUGGGGCUCAACCUCGGAAACGCAUUGGAUACUGGCAGACUUGAGUGUGGUAGAGGCAAUCGGAAUUCCAGGUGUAGCGGUGAAAUGCGUAGAUAUCUGGAAGAACACCGGUGGCGCAAGCGGAUUGCUGGGCCAUAACUGACACUGAGGAACGAAAGCUAGGGGAGCGAAUGGG
RNAcentral lists this ribosomal RNA (253 nucleotides) under uncultured bacterium. RNAcentral's name for it is "partial 16S ribosomal RNA". It matches the Rfam family "Bacterial small subunit ribosomal RNA", at positions 524 to 776 of the family's 1533-position model. The record is from RNAcentral.